Molecule: ribosomal RNA, 497 nt
Filed under: uncultured bacterium
Lineage: Bacteria
Description: partial 16S ribosomal RNA
Rfam family: Bacterial small subunit ribosomal RNA
Source: RNAcentral
GAUGAACGCUGGCGGCGUGCCUAAUACAUGCAAGUCGAGCGAACGGACGAGAAGCUUGCUUUUCUGAUGUUAGCGGCGGACGGGUGAGUAACACGUGGAUAACCUACCUAUAAGACUGGGAUAACUUCGGGAAACCGGAGCUAAUACCGGAUAAUAUUUUGAACCGCAUGGUUCAAAAGUGAAAGACGGUCUUGCUGUCACCUAUAGAUGGAUCCGCGCUGCAUUAGCUAGUUGGUAAGGUAACGGCUUACCAAGGCAACGAUGCAUAUCCAACCUGAGAGGGUGAUCGGCCACACUGGAACUGAGACACGGUCCAGACUCCUACGGGAGGCAGCAGUAGGGAAUCUUCCGCAAUGGGCGAAAGCCUGACGGAGCAACGCCGCGUGAGUGAUGAAGGUCUUCGGAUCGUAAAACUCUGUUAUUAGGGAAGAACAUAUGUGUAAGUAACUGUGCACAUCUUGACGGUACCUAAUCAGAAAGCCACGGCUAACUACGUG